UGGAGCCUUGGGCUCAGCUCAUGAGUGCACAU
Molecule: non-coding RNA, 32 nt
Filed under: Homo sapiens (human)
Lineage: Eukaryota; Metazoa; Chordata; Mammalia; Primates; Hominidae
Source: RNAcentral